GAUUCGUCAUCGACUCGAGCCAGGUGAGGGUUCAGCGUGGAGGCUCGUCGAGGUCUGCUACUCGUAGCUCCUGUCGCUCCACUCAAGAUCCAGCAAAAGUGGAGCAACCGCGAGAAGAACUUAGGCGACAUCAGGAUUACUUGAAGCAACAAGCUGCGCAACAUGAAUAUUAUGCUACACAGAUUCAACAACAGCAAACACUCAUACAACAACUAGCACAGGCCCAAGGGAUACACGUCCUGGUGCCCCCCCACCUCCCCGUUCAUUAUCCUUGGUCUUCACCUCCACCUAUACCUACAUCUCCAUCUACCGAACAUCAGACCCCUCCAGCUACCUUGCCGACGCAUGAACGAGAAGACAGGUUAGACUUUGUCGAAACCCUCUUCGCUAGUGGAGGUAUCGACCAUCACUCGUCACUGUAACCCGAUGGUGAUCGGCGACCGUGAGGUUCCAUGUUAUUGUGUUCUGAUACUUGAGACUUUUAUUAUGACUAUGUAUGAGAUAUUGUCUCUUAUUAGUACUGGAUGAUGAGAUGUGUCUUAUUAUGACUAUGGAUGAGACUUUUGUGAUGUAAUUGAUGAGACUAUGGAUGAGACUUUUGUGAUGUAAUUGAUGAGACUAUGGAUUUAAAUAUUGUUA
Long non-coding RNA from Zea mays, 639 nucleotides. RefSeq lists it as uncharacterized. The record is from RefSeq and is a predicted model, not a curated record. The transcript has 3 exons. NCBI's taxonomy places the organism in Eukaryota, Viridiplantae, Streptophyta, Magnoliopsida, Poales, Poaceae.